GCUAAACGCGAAGAACCUUACCUGGCCUUGACAUGCAGAGAACUUUCCAGAGAUGGAUUGGUGCCUUCGGGAACUCUGACACAGGUGCUGCAUGGCUGUCGUCAGCUCGUGUCGUGAGAUGUUGGGUUAAGUCCCGCAACGAGCGCAACCCUUGUCCUUAGUUGCCAUCAUUAAGUUGGGAACUCUAAGGAGACCGCCGGUGACAAACCGGAGGAAGGUGGGGAUGACGUCAAGUCAUCAUGGCCUUUAUGGCCAGGGCUACACACGUGCUACAAUGGCAGGUACAGAGGGAAGCCAACCGGCGACGGGGAGCUAAUCCCAGAAAGCCUGUCUUAGUCCGGAUUGCAGUCUGCAACUCGACUGCAUGAAGUUGGAAUCGCUAGUAAUCGCAGAUCAGCAUUGCUGCGGUGAAUACGUUCCCGGGUCUUGUACACACCG
This 438-nucleotide ribosomal RNA is filed under the name uncultured bacterium. RNAcentral describes it as "bacterial SSU rRNA". It matches the Rfam family "Bacterial small subunit ribosomal RNA", at positions 954 to 1392 of the family's 1533-position model. The record is from RNAcentral.